This 392-nucleotide ribosomal RNA is filed under the name uncultured bacterium. RNAcentral describes it as "partial 16S ribosomal RNA". It matches the Rfam family "Bacterial small subunit ribosomal RNA", at positions 523 to 918 of the family's 1533-position model. The record is from RNAcentral.
AUACGGAGGAUGCGAGCGUUAUCCGGAUUUAUUGGGUUUAAAGGGUGCGUAGGCUGUGCGUUAAGUCAGGGGUGAAAUGCCGUCGCUCAACGACGGAGCUGCCCUUGAUACUGGCGUGCUGGAGUACGGAUGCCGUUGGAGGAAUGAGUGGUGUAGUGGUGAAAUGCUUAGAUAUCACUCAGAACACCGAUUGCGAAGGCAUCUGACGAAUCCGUCACUGACGCUGAGGCACGAAAGCGUGGGGAUAGAACAGGAUUAGAUACCCUGGUAUUCCACGCCGUAAACGAUGAUGACUAACCGUCGGCGAUAGACAGCCGGUGGCAAGCGAAAGCGAUAAGUCAUCCACCUGGGGAGUACGUCGGCAACGAUGAAACUCAAAUGAAUUGACGGGG